UCGCACGGGGGUUUCGGCCUCCAGUGGCGGACGGGUGAGUAACGCGUAGGAAUCUGCCCUGGAGUGGGGGACAACCUGGGGAAACUCAGGCUAAUACCGCAUGCGCUCGGGAGAGGAAAGCGGGGGACCUUCGGGCCUCGCGCUGCAGGAGGAGCCUACGUCCGAUUAGCUGGUUGGUGGGGUAAGGGCCCACCAAGGCGACGAUCGGUAGCUGGUCUGAGAGGACGAUCAGCCACACUGGGACUGAGACACGGCCCAGACUCCUACGGGAGGCAGCAGUGGGGAAUAUUGGACAAUGGGCGCAAGCCUGAUCCAGCAAUGCCGCGUGGGUGAAGACGGCCUGCGGGUUGUAAAGCCCUUUGGGUGGGGAAGAACGGCGGGCGGCGAACAGCGGCCUGUUUUGACAUUACCCACGGAACAAGCACCGGCUAACUCCGUGCCAGCAGCCGCGGUAAUACGGAGGGUGCGAGCGUUAAUCGGAAUUCUGGGCGUAAAGCGUGCGUAGGCGGAUGGGUCAGUCAGCCGUGAAAGCCCCGGGCUCAACCUGGGAACGGCGGUUGAGACGGCCCGUCUGGAGU
Molecule: ribosomal RNA, 578 nt
Filed under: uncultured Gammaproteobacteria bacterium
Lineage: Bacteria; Pseudomonadati; Pseudomonadota; Gammaproteobacteria
Description: bacterial SSU rRNA
Rfam family: Bacterial small subunit ribosomal RNA
Source: RNAcentral